UCUCUCUCACCAGACCAACAAACACCUAAACCAAACUCUUAAAAAAAAUUCAGAUCAAAUACUUUGAAAAAUGAAGAACAUCGUCUUUGUUUUUUCCAGAAUUUUGCAUAAAUCUCCCAAAUCAAAAUUCACCAACACGAAUCCCCCUCCACUUCACAUUGAUCAUGAAUCAUUCAAUUAAAUAGAUUUAAAACAUAAAAUGCAAAUCGCCCUUAGCCCUAAUUGAAAACCCUAGCCCCCUUUUUUAUAAUUUGAUUCAAUUACAACAGUUUUACAUAAAUCAAAAGGAGAAGGAACAAUAAAUGUGAAAGAACACAUAAAAAGACAUGGAAUAAGUGAAGUAAAUGAUGGAAACAAAUACCUCGUUGGAAUCUUCGUUUAUCGGGCUUCCUGCGAGCCAACCGACGAGGCCAAGACUCACCUCAGGAGUUUGUAGGGAUUUUUUUGCAUGUUUGAAAGUGUGGAUGUAACAGAGUUUUCAUAGUGAAUUUUAUUGUAUCAAGAUGUGUUAUGCAGUGAAAAUGGUGUUAGUUUAUAUAGGUAAAUUUGAGGGUGAGUGGUGAUACUCAUGAGGUGAAUUGGAGGUAAUUUUUUGGGGGAAUCGCAAUGAGGUUAGUUGGGCAGUGAAGGAUUCGUGACUUUGAUGGAGCAUGAUGUAUGUAUGUAGAUGCUUAUGAUGUAUGGAUGUAGGAAGAUCGUGGGGAGGAAAAGUUGUAAUGUAUGUAAAAUGUAUUUUGUAGUUCAUGUGUUUCACGUGUAUGGAUUGUAAUUUAAAAAAACCUUUUUUUCAAUUAUAUUUUUUGUUUUAGUUCUCAUGUAGUGAAUGUAUGAUGGGGGAUGUUGUUGGAAGAUGACAUGUGAAGUAAACAACCUGUAACUUGUGUAUUACUCAAUGCAAUGAAACAAAAUUUUUAUUAA
Molecule: long non-coding RNA, 918 nt
Organism: Lathyrus oleraceus (garden pea)
Lineage: Eukaryota; Viridiplantae; Streptophyta; Magnoliopsida; Fabales; Fabaceae
Exons: 2
Source: RefSeq, a predicted model, not a curated record